This 319-nucleotide ribosomal RNA is filed under the name uncultured Pseudomonadota bacterium. RNAcentral's name for it is "bacterial SSU rRNA". It matches the Rfam family "Bacterial small subunit ribosomal RNA", at positions 30 to 351 of the family's 1533-position model. Lineage: Bacteria; Pseudomonadati; Pseudomonadota. The record is from RNAcentral.
AUUGAACGCUGGCGGCAGGCCUAACACAUGCAAGUCGAGCGGUAACAGAUCCAGCUUGCUGGAUGCUGACGAGCGGCGGACGGGUGAGUAAUGCAUAGGAAUCUGCCCGAUAGUGGGGGAUAACCUGGGGAAACCCAGGCUAAUACCGCAUACGUCCUACGGGAGAAAGGGGGCUCCGGCUCCCGCUAUUGGAUGAGCCUAUGUCGGAUUAGCUAGUUGGUGAGGUAACGGCUCACCAAGGCCACGAUCCGUAGCUGGUCUGAGAGGAUGAUCAGCCACAUCGGGACUGAGACACGGCCCGAACUCCUACGGGUGGCAG